AUGAAUGAAUGAAUGAAUG
RNAcentral lists this non-coding RNA (19 nucleotides) under Mus musculus (house mouse). The record is from RNAcentral. Lineage: Eukaryota; Metazoa; Chordata; Mammalia; Rodentia; Muridae.